GUGUGGGCACCCGGGGCUGGGGACAGGGCAGGGCUGGGACAGCGGGAUGGGACAGCAGGGCUGUGGAUGCAGCGUCCAUCCUGUGUCCAUCCCUGUGUCCAUCCCUCUGUCCAUCCUGUGUCCAUCCCUCUGUCCAUCCCUGUCCAUCCCUGUGUCCAUCCUGUGUCCAUCCCUCUGUCCAUCCCUGUGUCCCUCCCUGUCCCCCCCAUGUCCCUCCCUGUCCAUCCCUGUGUCCAUCCUCUGUCCAUCCCUGUGUCCAUCCCUGUCCAUCCUCUGUCCAUCCCUGUGUCCAUCCCUCUGUCCAUCCUGUGUCCAUCCCUGUGUCCAUCCCUGUGUCCAUCCCUGUCCAUCCCUGUGUCCAUCCUGUGUCCAUCCCUCUGUCCAUCCGUGUGUCCAUCCCAGUCCAUCCUCUGUCCAUCCCUGUCCCUCCCUGUCCAUCCCAUCCAUCCUGUGUCCAUCCCUCUGUCCAUCCCUGUCCAUCCCUGUGUCCCUCCCUGUCCCCCCCAUGUCCCUCCCUGUCCAUCCCUGUGUCCAUCCCUCUGUCCAUCCUCUGUCCAUCCCUGUGUCCAUCCUGUGUCCAUCCUGUGUCCAUCCCUCUGUCCCUCCCUGUCCCCCCCAUGUCCCUCCCUGUCCAUCCCUCUGUCCCUCUCUGUCCCUCCCUGUCCAUCCCAUCCAUCCCUGUCCAUCCAGUGUCCAUCCCUCUGUCCCUGUGUCCAUCCUGUGUCCAUCCCUGUGUCCCUCAUGUGUCCAUCCCUCUGUCCCUCCCUGUCCAUCCCUGUGUCCAUCCCUCUGUCCCUCUGUCCAUUCCUCUGUCCAUCCCUGUGUCCAUCCUGUGUCCCUCUGUCCCUCCCUGUCCCCCCCUAUGUCCCUCCUGUGUCCAUCCCUCUGUCCCUCUCUCUGUCCCUCCAUGUCCAUCCCUCUGUCCCCCCCAUGUCCCUCCCUGUCCAUCCCUCUGUCCAUCCCUCUGUCCCUCCCUCUGUCCAUCCCUGUCCCCCCCCCCAUGUCCAUCCCUGUCCAUCCCUCUGUCCGUCCCUGUCCCCUCCCCGCAGUGCCCAGAAGUGCCUGAUCCAGCCCAGCCCCCGCUGCCGCAGAAUUUGGGGCUGGGGGUUCCCAAAUCCCCCC
This 1122-nucleotide long non-coding RNA is filed under the name Zonotrichia albicollis (white-throated sparrow). RNAcentral's name for it is "lncRNA (ENSZALG00000001260.1)". The record is from RNAcentral. Lineage: Eukaryota; Metazoa; Chordata; Aves; Passeriformes; Passerellidae.